ACGAUUGACGGAGCGAAGCGACGUCAAAGCGUUCAUUAAAGUCGAGUUGGCUUAGGGAUACGUUCGUUGGGUAGGGGAGCGUUCUGUAAGCCUGUGAAGGUGUGUCGUGAGGCAUGCUGGAGGUAUCAGAAGUGCGAAUGCUGACAUAAGUAACGAUAAAGCGGGUGAAAAGCCCGCUCGCCGGAAGACCAAGGGUUCCUGUCCAACGUUAAUCGGGGCAGGGUGAGUCGACCCCUAAGGCGAGGCCGAAAGGCGUAGUCGAUGGGAAACGGGUUAAUAUUCCCGUACUUGGUGUUACUGCGAAGGGGGGACGGAGAAGGCUAUGUUGGCCGGGCGACGGUUGUCCCGGUUUAAGCGUGUAGGUGUGUGUUCCAGGUAAAUCCGGUUCACUUUAACACUGAGGCGUGACGACGAGGCACUACGGUGCUGAAGCAACAAAUGCCCUGCUUCCAGGAAAAGCCUCUAAGCAUCAGGUAACAUCAAAUCGUACCCCAAACCGACACAGGUGGUCAGGUAGAGAAUACCAAGGCGCUUGAGAGAACUCGGGUGAAGGAACUAGGCAAAAUGGUGCCGUAACUUCGGGAGAAGGCACGCUGACACGUAGGUGAAGUGAUUUACUCAUGGAGCUGAAGUCAGUCGAAGAUACCAGCUGGCUGCAACUGUUUAUUAAAAACACAGCACUGUGCAAACACGAAAGUGGACGUAUACGGUGUGACGCCUGCCCGGUGCCGGAAGGUUAAUUGAUGGGGUCAGCGCAAGCGAAGCUCCUGAUCGAAGCCCCGGUAAACGGCGGCCGUAACUAUAACGGUCCUAAGGUAGCGAAAUUCCUUGUCGGGUAAGUUCCGACCUGCACGAAUGGCGUAAUGAUGGCCAGGCUGUCUCCACCCGAGACUCAGUGAAAUUGAACUCGCUGUGAAGAUGCAGUGUACCCGCGGCAAGACGGAAAGACCCCGUGAACCUUUACUAUAGCUUGACACUGAACAUUGAGCCUUGAUGUGUAGGAUAGGUGGGAGGCUUUGAAGUGUGGACGCCAGUCUGCAUGGAGCCGACCUUGAAAUACCACCCUUUAAUGUUUGAUGUUCUAACGUGGACCCGUAAUCCGGGUUGCGGACAGUGUCUGGUGGGUAGUUUGACUGGGGCGGUCUCCUCCUAAAGAGUAACGGAGGAGCACGAAGGUUGGCUAAUCCUGGUCGGACAUCAGGAGGUUAGUGCAAUGGCAUAAGCCAGCUUGACUGCGAGCGUGACGGCGCGAGCAGGUGCGAAAGCAGGUCAUAGUGAUCCGGUGGUUCUGAAUGGAAGGGCCAUCGCUCAACGGAUAAAAGGUACUCCGGGGAUAACAGGCUGAUACCGCCCAAGAGUUCAUAUCGACGGCGGUGUUUGGCACCUCGAUGUCGGCUCAUCACAUCCUGGGGCUGAAGUAGGUCCCAAGGGUAUGGCUGUUCGCCAUUUAAAGUGGUACGCGAGCUGGGUUUAGAACGUCGUGAGACAGUUCGGUCCCUAUCUGCCGUGGGCGCUGGAGAACUGAGGGGGGCUGCUCCUAGUACGAGAGGACCGGAGUGGACGCAUCACUGGUGUUCGGGUUGUCAUGCCAAUGGCACUGCCCGGUAGCUAAAUGCGGAAGAGAUAAGUGCUGAAAGCAUCUAAGCACGAAACUUGCCCCGAGAUGAGUUCUCCCUGAGACUUAGAGUCUCCUGAAGGAACGUUGAAGACGACGACGUUGAUAGGCCGGGUGUGUAAGCGCAGCGAUGCGUUGAGCUAACCGGUACUAAUGAACCGUGAGGCUUAACCUUACA
RNAcentral lists this ribosomal RNA (1793 nucleotides) under Salmonella enterica. RNAcentral's name for it is "partial 23S ribosomal RNA". It matches the Rfam family "Bacterial large subunit ribosomal RNA", at positions 1182 to 2925 of the family's 2925-position model. The record is from RNAcentral. Lineage: Bacteria; Pseudomonadati; Pseudomonadota; Gammaproteobacteria; Enterobacterales; Enterobacteriaceae.